AAAGACGGGUGAGAAUCCCGUCCACCGAUUGACUAAGGUUUCCAGAGGAAGGCUCGUCCGCUCUGGGUUAGUCGGGUCCUAAGCUGAGGCCGACAGGCGUAGGCGAUGGAUAACAGGUUGAUAUUCCUGUACCACCUAUAAUCGUUUUAAUCGAUGGGGGGACGCAGUAGGAUAGGCGAAGCGUGCGAUUGGAUUGCACGUCUAAGCAGUAAGGCUGAGUAUUAGGCAAAUCCGGUACUCGUUAAGGCUGAGCUGUGAUGGGGAGAAGACAUUGAGUCUUCGAGUCGUUGAUUUCACACUGCCGAGAAAAGCCUCUAGAUAGAAAAUAGGUGCCCGUACCGCAAACCGACACAGGUAGUCAAGAUGAGAAUUCUAAGGUGAGCGAGCGAACUCUCGUUAAGGAACUCGGCAAAAUGACCCCGUAACUUCGGGAGAAGGGGUGCUCUUUAGGGUUAACGCCCAGAAGAGCCGCAGUGAAUAGGCCCAAGCGACUGUUUAUCAAAAACACAGGUCUCUGCUAAACCGUAAGGUGAUGUAUAGGGGCUGACGCCUGCCCGGUGCUGGAAGGUUAAGAGGAGUGGUUAGCUUCUGCGAAGCUACGAAUCGAAGCCCCAGUAAACGGCGGCCGUAACUAUAACGGUCCUAAGGUAGCGAAAUUCCUUGUCGGGUAAGUUCCGACCCGCACGAAAGGCGUAACGAUUUGGGCACUGUCUCAACGAGAGACUCGGUGAAAUCAUAGUACCUGUGAAGAUGCAGGUUACCCGCGACAGGACGGAAAGACCCCGUGGAGCUUUACUGUAGCCUGAUAUUGAAAUUCGGCACAGCUUGUACAGGAUAGGUAGGAGCCUUUGAAACGUGAGCGCUAGCUUACGUGGAGGCGCUGGUGGGAUACUACCCUAGCUGUGUUGGCUUUCUAACCCGCACCACUUAUCGUGGUGGGAGACAGUGUCAGGCGGGCAGUUUGACUGGGGCGGUCGCCUCCUAAAAGGUAACGGAGGCGCUCAAAGGUUCCCUCAGAAUGGUUGGAAAUCAUUCAUAGAGUGUAAAGGCAUAAGGGAGCUUGACUGCGAGACCUACAAGUCGAGCAGGGUCGAAAGACGGACUUAGUGAUCCGGUGGUUCCGCAUGGAAGGGCCAUCGCUCAACGGAUAAAAGCUACCCCGGGGAUAACAGGCUUAUCUCCCCCAAGAGUUCACAUCGACGGGGAGGUUUGGCACCUCGAUGUCGGCUCAUCGCAUCCUGGGGCUGUAGUCGGUCCCAAGGGUUGGGCUGUUCGCCCAUUAAAGCGGUACGCGAGCUGGGUUCAGAACGUCGUGAGACAGUUCGGUCCCUAUCCGUCGUGGGCGUAGGAAAUUUGAGAGGAGCUGUCCUUAGUACGAGAGGACCGGGAUGGACAUACCUCUGGUGUACCAGUUGUCGUGCCAACGGCAUAGCUGGGUAGCUAUGUGUGGACGGGAUAAGUGCUGAAAGCAUCUAAGCAUGAAGCCCCCCUCAAGAUGAGAUUUCCCAACUUCGGUUAUAAGAUCCCUCAAAGAUGAUGAGGUUAAUAGGUUCGAGGUGGAAGCAUGGUGACAUGUGGAGCUGACGAAUACUAAUCGAUCGAAGACUUAAUCAAAA
Molecule: ribosomal RNA, 1616 nt
Filed under: Staphylococcus aureus
Lineage: Bacteria; Bacillati; Bacillota; Bacilli; Caryophanales; Staphylococcaceae
Description: partial 23S ribosomal RNA
Rfam family: Bacterial large subunit ribosomal RNA
Source: RNAcentral